RNAcentral lists this unclassified non-coding RNA (100 nucleotides) under Oryza sativa (Asian cultivated rice). Its description in RNAcentral is "partial microRNA MIR468d precursor". The record is from RNAcentral. Lineage: Eukaryota; Viridiplantae; Streptophyta; Magnoliopsida; Poales; Poaceae.
GAUGUGACAAAUUCUAGUACUACGAAUCUGAACAUAUAUAUGUCCAGAUUUAUAGUAGAAUAUGUUACAUCCGAUUCUAGAUUCAUUUUUUAUGGGACGG